This 68-nucleotide transfer RNA is filed under the name Liposcelis nr. bostrychophila AZ. RNAcentral describes it as "tRNA-Val". The record is from RNAcentral. Lineage: Eukaryota; Metazoa; Arthropoda; Insecta; Psocodea; Liposcelididae.
UAGAGAAUAAGCUAAUUUUAAAGCUGUUAGAUUUACACUCUGACCAUGAUUUGUUUUAUCUUCUUUUC